This 1529-nucleotide ribosomal RNA is filed under the name Escherichia coli. Its description in RNAcentral is "bacterial SSU rRNA". It matches the Rfam family "Bacterial small subunit ribosomal RNA". Lineage: Bacteria; Pseudomonadati; Pseudomonadota; Gammaproteobacteria; Enterobacterales; Enterobacteriaceae. The record is from RNAcentral.
AGAGUUUGAUCAUGGCUCAGAUUGAACGCUGGCGGCAGGCCUAACACAUGCAAGUCGAACGGUAACAGGAAACAGCUUGCUGUUUCGCUGACGAGUGGCGGACGGGUGAGUAAUGUCUGGGAAACUGCCUGAUGGAGGGGGAUAACUACUGGAAACGGUAGCUAAUACCGCAUAACGUCGCAAGACCAAAGAGGGGGACCCUCGGGCCUCUUGCCAUCGGAUGUGCCCAGAUGGGAUUAGCUUGUUGGUGGGGUAACGGCUCACCAAGGCGACGAUCCCUAGCUGGUCUGAGAGGAUGACCAGCCACACUGGAACUGAGACACGGUCCAGACUCCUACGGGAGGCAGCAGUGGGGAAUAUUGCACAAUGGGCGCAAGCCUGAUGCAGCCAUGCCGCGUGUAUGAAGAAGGCCUUCGGGUUGUAAAGUACUUUCAGCGGGGAGGAAGGAGUAAAGUUAAUACCUUUGCUCAUUGACGUUACCCGCAGAAGAAGCACCGGCUAACUCCGUGCCAGCAGCCGCGGUAAUACGGAGGGUGCAAGCGUUAAUCGGAAUUACUGGGCGUAAAGCGCACGCAGGCGGUUUGUUAAGUCAGAUGUGAAAUCCCCGGGCUCAACCUGGGAACUGCAUCUGAUACUGGCAAGCUUGAGUCUCGUAGAGGGGGGUAGAAUUCCAGGUGUAGCGGUGAAAUGCGUAGAGAUCUGGAGGAAUACCGGUGGCGAAGGCGGCCCCCUGGACGAAGACUGACGCUCAGGUGCGAAAGCGUGGGGAGCAAACAGGAUUAGAUACCCUGGUAGUCCACGCCGUAAACGAUGUCGACUUGGAGGUUGUGCCCUUGAGGCGUGGCUUCCGGAGCUAACGCGUUAAGUCGACCGCCUGGGGAGUACGGCCGCAAGGUUAAAACUCAAAUGAAUUGACGGGGGCCCGCACAAGCGGUGGAGCAUGUGGUUUAAUUCGAUGCAACGCGAAGAACCUUACCUGGUCUUGACAUCCACGGAAGUUUUCAGAGAUGAGAAUGUGCCUUCGGGAACCGUGAGACAGGUGCUGCAUGGCUGUCGUCAGCUCGUGUUGUGAAAUGUUGGGUUAAGUCCCGCAACGAGCGCAACCCUUAUCCUUUGUUGCCAGCGGUUCGGCCGGGAACUCAAAGGAGACUGCCAGUGAUAAACUGGAGGAAGGUGGGGAUGACGUCAAGUCAUCAUGGCCCUUACGACCAGGGCUACACACGUGCUACAAUGGCGCAUACAAAGAGAAGCGACCUCGCGAGAGCAAGCGGACCUCAUAAAGUGCGUCGUAGUCCGGAUUGGAGUCUGCAACUCGACUCCAUGAAGUCGGAAUCGCUAGUAAUCGUGGAUCAGAAUGCCACGGUGAAUACGUUCCCGGGCCUUGUACACACCGCCCGUCACACCAUGGGAGUGGGUUGCAAAAGAAGUAGGUAGCUUAACCUUCGGGAGGGCGCUUACCACUUUGUGAUUCAUGACUGGGGUGAAGUCGUAACAAGGUAACCGUAGGGGAACCUGCGGUUGGAUCACCU